CUCAGGGGGAAAGCCAGCUGUGGUGGUGUGCACUUGUGAUCCCAGCGGCUCUGGAGGCUGAGGCAAGAGGACUGCAAGUUUGAGGACAGCCUGGGCAACUUAGUGAGACCCUGUCACAAACAACAGCAACAAAGACACAAAACAGCCAAACAGGGCCAAGAACAGGCAAAGUCGGUGGCAGGGCAGUGGACCAGUCAGACCCACAACCCGCUGACCUAGAAGGACCUCACCGCACAAAGACGGGGGAAACAAAGGCCUUGAGUGUGGAUCAAGGGAAUUUCCGAAGCAUCAGGUUCCCCAGACACCUGGCAAAGAGGAAGAAAGCCCUCCUCGGGAAAGAGAAUAUCCUCCCAGCCUCACCAGUCUGGAGACACCUUUGCAAACAAUGCUUGGCACACAGCAAAAAAUGACCAGACAGGUGGGGAGCUGGCUCCAAAAGGGACCAAUCAGAGCCACCGAACCAAAGGCAUGCAAAUUACCGGAAUUCUUGAAUUUUCCUCAAAUGGGAGCUUAUUGUUUUGGUGAUCAUCUAUCCUGGAAGAAAUACUUUGCGUUCCAGAACCACUGGGCCCAAGAGGUGAGAACAGCCCCAGCUGCCCCAGGAGCCUGCAUAGGCAGAUACACCGGGGACAGCGGAAGCGCCGGGACCUGCUGACCGGCUGGAGCUGGACCCUGAGGUUCGGCAGAGCCGGCUGGGACCUAAGUGUCCUGCAGGAUGCACGUGGUUUACUGCAAGCUGCUGUCGGAGGGUCC
Molecule: long non-coding RNA, 753 nt
Filed under: Heterocephalus glaber (naked mole-rat)
Lineage: Eukaryota; Metazoa; Chordata; Mammalia; Rodentia; Bathyergidae
Description: lncRNA (ENSHGLG00100041218.1)
Source: RNAcentral